RNAcentral lists this long non-coding RNA (383 nucleotides) under Monodelphis domestica (gray short-tailed opossum). RNAcentral describes it as "lncRNA (ENSMODG00000044043.1)". Lineage: Eukaryota; Metazoa; Chordata; Mammalia; Didelphimorphia; Didelphidae. The record is from RNAcentral.
CCUCCCAAUUCCAGGCUUGGCUCCCUAUGCAUUGAGCCUCCUAGAUGUUUGAGCUUUCUACUCCCCCUCUGCCCUUCAGCAACCAGAAAGACUCUGUCAGUUUAGAAUUCAGUGAGGCAAAUUGUAGGUAAAAGUUUGCUAUUGUUGUAAUAGAAUAUUUUUGUGAGAUGAGAGGCAAUAUGAUAUAGUGGAUAGAAAUGAAAAGGAAAAGAACAAACAGAUUCAUUAAUCACUUACUAUGUUCCAGGUACUCUGAAAAGUCUUUUUACAAAUGUCUCAUUUGAUCCUCACAACCAUCCUGGGAGCUUAUGGGCCCAUGGAAGAAACUAUCAAGUGUUUGUGGACCCCAGAUGAAGAAAUCCUGCCCCCAAAGUACUUCAUGG